Molecule: long non-coding RNA, 443 nt
Filed under: Salmo salar (Atlantic salmon)
Lineage: Eukaryota; Metazoa; Chordata; Actinopteri; Salmoniformes; Salmonidae
Description: lncRNA (ENSSSAG00000091112.1, ENSSSAG00000100337.1)
Source: RNAcentral
GCUAUAUACAGGGGGUACCGUACAGAGUCAAUGUGGAGGCUAUAUACAGGAGGUACUGGUACAGAGUCAAUGUGGAGGCUAUAUACCGGGGGUACCGGUACAGAGUCAAUGUGGAGGCUAUAUACAGGGGGUACCGGUACAGAGUCAAUGUGGAGGCUAUAUACAGGGGGUACCGGUACAGAGUCAAUGUGGAGGCUAUAUACAGGGGGUACCGGUACAGAGUCAAUGUGGAGGCUAUAUACAGGGGGUACCGGUACAGAGUCAAUGUGGAGGCUAUAUACAGGGGGGUACCGGUACAGAGUCAAUGUGGAGGCUAUAUACAGGGGGUACCGGUACAGAGUCAAUGUGGAGGCUAUAUACAGGGGGUACUGGUACAGAGUCAAUGUGGAGGCUAUAUACAGGGGGUACCGGUACAGAGUCAAUGUGGAGGCUAUAUACAGGGG